GUUGGGGAGUUGAAAUUCCUUUGAAAUGGUUCCUGUUUCAACAGGUUAUUGAAAAAUUAAAAGAGAACAAAGUUCCAAUUUCCACAACAAAGAAAGUCCAACAGAUGGCAAGUCAUAAGGACAUUGGCAUAACCGAUGAUUCCGAUUUCCGAAAAUGUCUACUUUACUUCCAUGACGUGGGAACAAUUAUUUACUAUGAUGAAGAGGGAUUAAAUGAGAACGUAAUUUUGGAUCCUAAGUGGUUGAUUGAUGCAUUUAGAUGUCUUGUGUCUCAUCA
RNAcentral lists this long non-coding RNA (277 nucleotides) under Mytilus galloprovincialis (Mediterranean mussel). The record is from RNAcentral. Lineage: Eukaryota; Metazoa; Mollusca; Bivalvia; Mytilida; Mytilidae.